AGUUGGUGGAGUGAUUUGUCUGGUUAAUUCCGUUAACGAACGAGACCUCAGCCUACUAACUAGAUGCGGUAAUCUUUGGAUUGUCGUACGCUUCUUAGAGGGACUAUCGGUUUCAAACCGAUGGAAGUUUGAGGCAAUAACAGGU
RNAcentral lists this ribosomal RNA (145 nucleotides) under uncultured eukaryote. RNAcentral's name for it is "partial small subunit ribosomal RNA". It matches the Rfam family "Eukaryotic small subunit ribosomal RNA", at positions 1296 to 1461 of the family's 1831-position model. The record is from RNAcentral.